AUUUUAAAAAAUGUCAUAUUUUACUUUUGAACUUUCUUGUCCUUCUAGAAAAUUUGAAUACCUUGGGUGUCCUUAAUUAAAGUUGAUUUUAUUAGAUGAAAAAAUUGUACAAAAAGUACAUAAUAAUGAUAAUAAUAACACCAAACCCACCCCAUCCUCACACUCUAACCUUACUCUUCUCCCCUCCAUUUGCAAAUGCAAGAAAAUCAAAAUUUAAAUCUUCAAAGAUCCCAUUUGCAAAAGCAAGAAAAUCAAAACUCAAAUCUUGAAAACUCCAACCUCCUUAGCCGCUCCACGCCUGACUUUUCUUUUUCAUCCGACCGACAUAGCAUCUGGAACAAGUGAAGUGACUGUUGAAAUCUCUAUUUUUUUCUCACAUUUUCAAUCUUCAUCUAUCGAUUUCUAAUUUGUAGCAUAUGGAAUUGUGACACCAAGCUAUUGCCAUAUCCUGAAUUUGACCAUUGUCUUCUUCUUUUCUCUGUGUCUCUUUUUGUUUUCUAUUUUUAUUAAUCGUUCAUAUUGAAGAGGAGAUAGAUGAAAAGGAAGUAUCCGGCAAUUUCGCAUAUGGAUUUCGAGUUUGUUUUGUCUAAAGGCGAAUGUAUACAUGGAUGAUGUACGAUGUAUUUUCCUAAUGAAAGGGCUGCACCGGUUCCCUCAAUUGCCACUGAUGCAGUUGAAAAUGAAAAAGUGGUGGUGACGAAAAAAUGACGCUCGAUGCACAUUGGAACAUUAUCAAUGUUAAAUCGGACUAUGCACACUAGGAGUGGUAGGAAGAGAGGAAAUAACAUAAAAUAAUAUGUUUUUUUGAUUGGGAAAAAAUGUGUACCAUUUUUUUGAACUUGGAAUUUGUCAUGUUUUGAAAUUUUUUACAUUUAUGUUUGUUUUCAUAUUUAUUUGAAAAAUUAUUUAGGUCUAUUGUCAUGUAUGUUUAGUUUAUGUUAUUUUACUCAAAUAUAGUGUUAUUGUGAACGA
Long non-coding RNA from Olea europaea var. sylvestris, 972 nucleotides. RefSeq lists it as uncharacterized. The transcript has 2 exons. Lineage: Eukaryota; Viridiplantae; Streptophyta; Magnoliopsida; Lamiales; Oleaceae. The record is from RefSeq and is a predicted model, not a curated record.